GCUUGUGUGGUGGAAUAGGCAGACGCAAGGGACUUAAAAUCCCUCGGUAGAGAUACCGUGCCGGUUCAAGUCCGGCCACAAGCACCA
RNAcentral lists this transfer RNA (87 nucleotides) under Clostridia bacterium. Its description in RNAcentral is "tRNA-Leu". It matches the Rfam family "tRNA". Rfam says of the family: Transfer RNA (tRNA) molecules are approximately 80 nucleotides in length. Their secondary structure includes four short double-helical elements and three loops (D, anti-codon, and T loops). Lineage: Bacteria; Bacillati; Bacillota; Clostridia. The record is from RNAcentral.